RNAcentral lists this ribosomal RNA (386 nucleotides) under Atopobathynella sp. GrPar. RNAcentral describes it as "partial large subunit ribosomal RNA". It matches the Rfam family "Bacterial large subunit ribosomal RNA", at positions 1919 to 2515 of the family's 2925-position model. Lineage: Eukaryota; Metazoa; Arthropoda; Malacostraca; Bathynellacea; Parabathynellidae. The record is from RNAcentral.
GAUAUUUAAUGGCCGCAGUAAUUUAACUGUGCUAAGGUAGCAUAAUAGCUUGUCUUUUAAUUGAAGUCUGGAAUGAAAGGUUUAAUAAGGUCAAACUUUGUUUCGUAACUGGAUUGAAUUUAGUAAUUAGGUGAGAAUACCUAGAUGCCCACAAAAGACGAUAAGACCCUAUGAAAUUUUAUACACGAUGUAUAGAUACAUAAUUUCAAGAUUGGCUUUCAUACAAUCAUUGUAUUUAACUGGGACGGUUAGUGUUUUAUUAUUAACACCACAUAUAAAAGAAUAAACCAAGUUAAUUGAUAUAAAGAACCUUAAAAAAGAUGAAUGAAUAAAUUACUCUAGGGAUAACAGCGUAAUUUCUUUGUAAAGUUCUUAUAGAUAAAGAA